RNAcentral lists this ribosomal RNA (460 nucleotides) under uncultured bacterium. RNAcentral's name for it is "partial 16S ribosomal RNA". It matches the Rfam family "Bacterial small subunit ribosomal RNA", at positions 338 to 795 of the family's 1533-position model. The record is from RNAcentral.
CCUACGGGUGGCAGCAGUGAGGAAUAUUGGUCAAUGGCCGAGAGUCUGAACCAGCCAAGUCGCGUGAAGGAUGACUGCCCUAUGGUUUGUAAACUUCUUUUAUAUGGGAAUAAAGUUUUCCACGUGUGGGAUUUUGUAUGUACCCUAUGAAUAAGCAUCGGCUAACUCCGUGCCAGCAGCCGCGGUAAUACGGAGGAUGCGAGCGUUAUCCGGAUUUAUUGGGUUUAAAGGGAGCGUAGGUGGAUUGUUAAGUCAGUGGUGAAAGUUUGUGGCUCAACCGUAAAAUUGCAGUUGAAACUGGCAGUCUUGAGUAUAGUAGAGGUGGGCGGAAUGCGUGGUGUAGCGGUGAAAUGCGUAGAUAUCACGAAGAACUCCGAUUGCGAAGGCAGCUUACUGGACGAUAACUGACACUGAGGCGCGAAAGUGUGGGGAUCAAACAGGAUUAGAUACCCCGGUAGUC